This 253-nucleotide ribosomal RNA is filed under the name uncultured bacterium. Its description in RNAcentral is "partial 16S ribosomal RNA". It matches the Rfam family "Bacterial small subunit ribosomal RNA", at positions 524 to 776 of the family's 1533-position model. The record is from RNAcentral.
UACGUGGGUGGCAAGCGUUGUCCGGAUUUACUGGGCGUAAAGAGCGCGCAGGCGGUCGUGCAAGUCGCGUGUGAAAGCCCCCGGCUCAACUGGGGAGGGUCACGCGAUACUGCUCGACUUGAAGGCAGGAGAGGGAAGUGGAAUUCCCGGUGUAGUGGUGAAAUGCGUAGAUAUCGGGAGGAACACCAGCGGCGAAGGCGACUUCCUGGCCUGUUCUUGACGCUGAGGCGCGAAAGCUAGGGGAGCAAACGGG